GAUGAACGCUAGCGGCAGGCUUAAUACAUGCAAGUCAAGGGGGUAGCAAUACAACCGGCGCACGGGUGAGUAACGCGUACACAACAUACCAUAUACUGGGGUAUAGCUUUGGGAAACUGAAGGUAAUCCCCAUAACAUUGCGAGAGGGCAUCUGAUUGCAAUUAAAGUUUCGGCGGUAUAUGAUUGGUGUGCGUUUGAUUAGCUAGUUGGUAGGGUAACGGCCUACCAAGGCGACGAUCAAUAGCUGGCGUGAGAGCGCGACCAGCCACACUGGAACUGAGACACGGUCCAGACUCCUACGGGAGGCAGCAGUAGGGAAUAUUGGACAAUGGGCGCAAGCCUGAUCCAGCCAUGCCGCGUGAUAGAUGAAGGCCCUCUGGGUUGUAAAUAUCUUUUAUCUGGGAAGAAACUCCUCUAUUCUUAGAGGCCUGACGGUACCAGAGGAAUAAGCACCGGCUAACUCCGUGCCAGCAGCCGCGGUAAU
This 484-nucleotide ribosomal RNA is filed under the name uncultured bacterium. Its description in RNAcentral is "bacterial SSU rRNA". It matches the Rfam family "Bacterial small subunit ribosomal RNA", at positions 28 to 524 of the family's 1533-position model. The record is from RNAcentral.